RNAcentral lists this ribosomal RNA (661 nucleotides) under uncultured bacterium. RNAcentral describes it as "bacterial SSU rRNA". It matches the Rfam family "Bacterial small subunit ribosomal RNA", at positions 202 to 882 of the family's 1533-position model. The record is from RNAcentral.
AAAGAUUUUAUCGCUUGAAGACGGACUCGCGUCCGAUUAGUUAGUUGGUGAGGUAACGGCUCACCAAGACCGCGAUCGGUAGCCGGACUGAGAGGUUGAACGGCCACAUUGGGACUGAGACACGGCCCAGACUCCUACGGGAGGCAGCAGUGGGGGAUAUUGCGCAAUGGGGGCAACCCUGACGCAGCAACGCCGCGUGAAGGAUGAAGGUUUUCGGAUUGUAAACUUCUUUUAUUAAGGACGAAAAAUGACGGUACUUAAUGAAUAAGCUCCGGCUAACUACGUGCCAGCAGCCGCGGUAAUACGUAGGGAGCAAGCGUUGUCCGGAUUUACUGGGUGUAAAGGGUGCGUAGGCGGCUUUGCAAGUCAGAUGUGAAAUCUAUGGGCUCAACCCAUAAACUGCAUUUGAAACUGUAGAGCUUGAGUGAAGUAGAGGCAGGCGGAAUUCCCCGUGUAGCGGUGAAAUGCGUAGAGAUGGGGAGGAACACCAGUGGCGAAGGCGGCCUGCUGGGCUUUAACUGACGCUGAGGCACGAAAGCGUGGGUAGCAAACAGGAUUAGAUACCCUGGUAGUCCACGCUGUAAACGAUGAUUACUAGGUGUGGGGGGUCUGACCCCUUCCGUGCCGGAGUUAACACAAUAAGUAAUCCACCUGGGGAGUA